Long non-coding RNA from Myotis davidii, 182 nucleotides. RefSeq lists it as uncharacterized. The transcript has 2 exons. The record is from RefSeq and is a predicted model, not a curated record. Lineage: Eukaryota; Metazoa; Chordata; Mammalia; Chiroptera; Vespertilionidae.
AGGACACAGAGCUUUCACACGCCUGCCGUGUCAACAUUUUGUUCUGAAUGCAACAGCCAUAGGACAGGGGGAGGAUCAGAGGCAACAUGAAGAAGAGAGAGAGGAGUGUGUGUCAACAAACUGGGGCCUUAUUAUGCAAGAAUUUGCUUAAAAAAUGGAGAAUGAAAAGGGAGUCCUUAAUG